RNAcentral lists this ribosomal RNA (788 nucleotides) under uncultured Neocallimastigales. Its description in RNAcentral is "partial large subunit ribosomal RNA". It matches the Rfam family "Eukaryotic large subunit ribosomal RNA", at positions 22 to 640 of the family's 3401-position model. The record is from RNAcentral. Lineage: Eukaryota; Fungi; Neocallimastigomycota; Neocallimastigomycetes; Neocallimastigales.
CAUAGCGACUAUCGUGGCAUAUCAAUAAGCGGAGGAAAAGAAACUAACUAGGAUUCCCUCAGUAACGGCGAGUGAAGCGGGAAGAGCUCAAAUUUGAAAUCUUCAAGGUUUUACCUUGACGAAUUGUAGUUUAAAGAAGUGUUUUCUGUUGGUGUUUUGGUAAAAGUUCUUUGGAAUAGGACAUCAUAGAGGGUGAGAAUCCCGUAUUUGACCAUUAUUUCCAGCUGUGUGAUACACUUUCAAAGAGUCGGAUUGUUUGGGAAUGCAGUCCAAAAUGGGUGGUAAAUUUCAUCUAAAGCUAAAUAUUGGCGAGAGACCGAUAGCGAACAAGUACCGUGAGGGAAAGAUGAAAAGAACUUUGAAAAGAGAGUUAAACAGUACGUGAAAUUGUCAAAAGGGAAGCGUUUGACACCAGUGUUGUUUUUCUCGAAAAUCAAUUAAGAAUGCUGAUUUUGUGUUGGAGUAUUGACUUUAUCAGGCUUUCUGCCACUUUCUUUCCUGUAACUUUUUUAAUGCACCUUUUCGGUUAACAAGUCAACAUCAAUUUCUUUUGUUGUAAAAGGGUAUGAGGAAGGUGGCUUUCUCUUUCGGCGCAAAGUGUUUAUAGCCUUGUAGCCUCUGCAAUCGGAGAGAUUGAGGUCUGCAGCGUAGAUCCUUCGGGGUUAGAUACAGUUUGUCGCUAAGCUAUAGCUUUUUAUAGACAACUUGUUGACUAUAGUUAAGUCUUGUAGCUUACUCGCUUAUGCUAUUUUACCUACGCUUAGGAUGUUGAUAUGCAUGACUGAUAU